RNAcentral lists this ribosomal RNA (2802 nucleotides) under Lutimaribacter pacificus. Its description in RNAcentral is "bacterial LSU rRNA". The stretch from base 1 to 1557 matches the Rfam family "Bacterial large subunit ribosomal RNA", at positions 1241 to 2925 of the family's 2925-position model. Lineage: Bacteria; Pseudomonadati; Pseudomonadota; Alphaproteobacteria; Rhodobacterales; Roseobacteraceae. The record is from RNAcentral.
GUCUUUUCUGUGAAGCCGGGGCGUGAGCCAUCCGGUGGAGAGAUCACUAGCGAGAAUGAUGACAUGAGUAGCGACAAAGAGUGUGAGAGACACUCUCGCCGAAAGUCCAAGGGUUCCUGCUUAAAGCUAAUCUGAGCAGGGUAAGCCGGCCCCUAAGCCGAGGCAGAAAUGCGUAGGCGAUGGGAACCAGGUUAAUAUUCCUGGGCCAGGAGAUGGUGACGGAUUGCAGGGGUAGUCAGGCCUUAUCGGAUUGGUCUGGCUGCUGAGCAGUUCCUGGAAAUAGCCCUCCACAGGACCGUACCCUAAACCGACACAGGUGGACUGGUAGAGAAUACCAAGGCGCUUGAGAGAACGAUGUUGAAGGAACUCGGCAAAAUACCUCCGUAAGUUCGCGAGAAGGAGGCCCGGUUUCCAGGCAACUGGAGGCUGGGGGCACAAACCAGGGGGUGGCGACUGUUUACUAAAAACACAGGGCUCUGCGAAGUCGCAAGACGACGUAUAGGGUCUGACGCCUGCCCGGUGCCGGAAGGUUAAAAGGAGGGGUGAGAGCUCCGAAUUGAAGCCCCGGUAAACGGCGGCCGUAACUAUAACGGUCCUAAGGUAGCGAAAUUCCUUGUCGGGUAAGUUCCGACCUGCACGAAUGGCGUAACGACUUCCCCGCUGUCUCCAACAUCGACUCAGCGAAAUUGAAUUGCCUGUCAAGAUGCAGGCUUCCCGCGGUUAGACGGAAAGACCCCGUGCACCUUUACUACAGCUUCGCACUGGCAUCAGGCCAUGCAUGUGCAGGAUAGGUGGUGGGCUUCGAAGCAGGGACGCCAGUUCCUGUGGAGCCUCCCUUGAGAUACCACCCUUGCAUUGCUUGAUGUCUAACCGCGGUCCGUUACCCGGAUCCGGGACCCUGCGUGGCGGGUAGUUUGACUGGGGCGGUCGCCUCCUAAAGAGUAACGGAGGCGCGCGAAGGUUGGCUCAGAGCGGUCGGAAAUCGCUCGUUGAGUGCAAUGGCAGAAGCCAGCCUGACUGCAAGACUGACAAGUCGAGCAGAGACGAAAGUCGGCCAUAGUGAUCCGGUGGUCCCGCGUGGAAGGGCCAUCGCUCAACGGAUAAAAGGUACGCCGGGGAUAACAGGCUGAUACUGCCCAAGAGUCCAUAUCGACGGCAGUGUUUGGCACCUCGAUGUCGGCUCAUCUCAUCCUGGGGCUGGAGCAGGUCCCAAGGGUACGGCUGUUCGCCGUUUAAAGAGGUACGUGAGCUGGGUUUAGAACGUCGUGAGACAGUUCGGUCCCUAUCUGCCGUGGGUGUAGGAUACUUGAGAGGAGUUGCCCCUAGUACGAGAGGACCGGGGUGAACGAUCCACUGGUGGACCUGUUGUCGUGCCAACGGCAGUGCAGGGUAGCUAUGAUCGGAAAGGAUAACCGCUGAAGGCAUCUAAGCGGGAAGCCCCCCUCAAAACAAGGUAUCCCCGAGGGCCGUGGAAGACCACCACGUCGAUAGGCCGGAGGUGUAAGCGCAGCAAUGCGUUCAGCUGACCGGUACUAAUGGCCCGACAGGCUUGAUUUGAGUUCAUCAAUAAGCAGAAACAGGUACUUCUUACCUGAAUACAUAGGGUUUGAAGAGCGAACCCGGGGAACUGAAACAUCUAAGUACCCGGAGGAAAGGACAUCAACAGAUACUCCCCUAGUAGCGGCGAGCGAACGGGGACCAGCCGAGCCGUGAAUGUGACCAGAACAAUCUGGAAAGGUUGACCAUAGUGGGUGACAGUCCCGUAUGGGAAGCAUGAUCGGACGUAUUAAGUAGGGCGGGACACGUGAAAUCCUGUCUGAAGAUCGGGGGACCACCCUCGAAGGCUAAGUACUCCUUGCUGACCGAUAGCGAACCAGUACCGUGAGGGAAAGGUGAAAAGCACCCCGACGAGGGGAGUGAAACAGUACCUGAAACCGAACGCCUACAAUCAGUCGGAGCCCCCUUGCGGGGUGACGGCGUACCUUUUGUAUAAUGGGUCAUCGACUUGGUCUCACGAGCAAGCUUAAGCCGAUAGGUGUAGGCGCAGCGAAAGCGAGUCUUAAUAGGGCGUAUGAGUUCGUGGGAUCAGACCCGAAACCGAGUGAUCUAGGCAUGGCCAGGCUGAAGGUUGGGUAACACCAACUGGAGGGCCGAACCCACAUCCGUUGAAAAGGAUCGGGAUGAGCUGUGCCUAGGGGUGAAAGGCCAAUCAAACUCGGAGAUAGCUGGUUCUCCGCGAAAUCUAUUUAGGUAGAGCGUCAUCCGAAUACCCCGGGGGGUAGAGCACUGGAUGGGUAAUGGGGCCCCACAGGCUUACUGAUCCUAACCAAACUCCGAAUACCCGGGAGUACUAGAUGGCAGACACACGGCGGAUGCUAACGUCCGUCGUGGAGAGGGAAACAACCCUGACCCUCAGCUAAGGCCCCCAAUUCAUGGCUAAGUGGGAAAGCAGGUGAGACGGCCAAAACAACCAGGAGGUUGGCUUAGAAGCAGCCAUCCUUUAAAGAUAGCGUAACAGCUCACUGGUCUAAAUAAGCUGUCUUGCGGCGAAGAUGUAACGGGGCUCAAGCCAUGAGCCGAAGCUAGGGAUGCACAUAGUGCAUGGUAGCGGAGCGUAGUGUGACAUAGAAAUCAAGCGCGAGAAGGGCGUUUGGUGAAUGCCUUGGCAGCAAGAGGCGAUGAAGGACGUGAUACUCUGCGAUAAGCUUGGGGGAGCCGAGAAUAGGCUUUGAUCCCAGGAUCUCCGAAUGGGGCAACCCACCUGAAUGUUUAUUGUUGUCCUGCCACUUCGUUACUUGAGGA